This 1316-nucleotide unclassified non-coding RNA is filed under the name Hevea brasiliensis (rubber tree). Lineage: Eukaryota; Viridiplantae; Streptophyta; Magnoliopsida; Malpighiales; Euphorbiaceae. The record is from RNAcentral.
GUUUAUGUACAAGAUAGAUAUGUACGGUUAAUAUUCAUAAUAACCUUCCGGGCGCGGGUGGUUGUGAGCUAAGCAGCUAAACACAAUGAGGUGCAAGGUUCAAAUCCUACUUAUGUAGCCUUAAAUUUUAAUUAUUUUUCUCCGACAUAAAACCGAUUUAUCCCAAGACAAAUACACCACUUGUAUAAUUCUCGAUUAAACUGGUCUGACCGAUCAAGCCGAUCCGAUUAUAACAACUAUGGUACAAACAAAAUCCAAAUGCAAAAGAAAAAAAAAAGGGGGCUGAUUUUUCUCCUUUUGAGUCUUUGGUGUCCAGGUUAGAAGUAACCCAAGUAUUUGUGAAAAGAGUAACUCCCAUGCACAAAGCAUCUCAAACUUCCGAAAAGAAAUAUAAAAAGAAAAAUAAAAUCCUUCAAAAGAGGCUGCCGCCCUUUUCCUUUCUUCAUAAACCCUGUAUAUAAAGAUCCGUGUAGAUUUGUGCAAUGCUAUAUAAACCCAAAAAAUGGAUGGGGAAAAACAUCCACAUCUAUUAACUUUGUAUUUGAAAGUUUGAAGGCAAUGCUGUAAAUCCUCGUGCCUUUGUUCUGAUCAACCUGAAAACCACACAAGGAAAAAAAAAAGCGCAUUAUAUAUCCGUAUAUUUCAGCAACAAAUGCCACUCGAAAGAUUGCCACUUGAAAGAUUUAACUUUCAGUUCGAUCUUACUUUGAGGAUUUCUAUGCUGAGAAAAUCUAGGAAAGAACUUAUGCAAGGGCGUCUCCGGAACGGGUAUCAAUUUGCCAACAAAAGCAAGAGGCCAACUAGCAAAGAACCAAAACAAGAAAAGAAAAAGAAAAAAAAUUCAUUAGUCGAGCACAAAUUACCUAACAAUAAUCGGUUGCUAAGAUCUAGUUUGCAAUCUAUAAUGGCAAAGUCCUCUUAUAAGUUGUAACCACAGUCCAUUCUGCAGCCAAGGUACAGGAUUUAAAGUUCCUUUAUAAUUUAUAACAAUCCUAAAGAAACGAAGGUCGAAGAAAAUUGCAUACGAAUUCACAUUUGCCAUGCUAAUGCCAUAGAAAUAUAUGAAGCAACGGCCAUCGCUAACCUGAUAAAACCAAUAGCAACAGAAACCAACCAUUGUUUCCAAUUCAGCUUUACAGUUGACGUAAACUUCCCAAUAAACUCGAUGAUAAUGAUCUGUAAAAAAACAUCAGAAGGGAAAAUAUCUAUGUGAACAUAAAUUGUCACAAAAGAUACAAAAAGCCCUACCAAACGGGAGAAAUUUAGAAGCCUGCCUGAAGAACGAGUGUAAUUGCAACUAUCCCCAUGAAAAGAUG